GCACCCGUAAGCUCAGCUGGAAGAGCUCCUGCCUUGUAAGCAGGUGGUCGUCCGUUCGAAUCGGACCGGGUGCUCCA
This 77-nucleotide transfer RNA is filed under the name bacterium. RNAcentral describes it as "tRNA-Thr". It matches the Rfam family "tRNA". Rfam says of the family: Transfer RNA (tRNA) molecules are approximately 80 nucleotides in length. The record is from RNAcentral.